ACACCACAACACAAUCCUCACUCACAUAGAGUUGAGAGAAAAAUAGAGAGUUCCUCAUAAGAGUGUGAGAGAAAAAUAUAGUGAGCCAAUUUGUGAGAGUUGUAUCUACAAAUUGAGAUACAUAGUUAGGUCCACCUGAGGGUGAAGAUUUGUAUUCCCAUUAUUAUUAUAGUGGAGAUUUAAGAGGCCUACGGGUCCCGUGGUUUUUCCUUACUCACAUUGAGAAGGUUUUCCACGCUAAAAUUUUGUUGUGUCAUUUUACGUUUCCGCUAAAGUGCCUAUUUUGAGUUCACGGAGGAGGGAAAUUAUGCAGGCAUUUCCCAACAGUGGUAUCAGAGCACUCGUUGCUCUGGGACUAUGAGUUUUCGUAUAUGCAAGAUAAUUCUUAAUAUGCUCUGUGGCUGCAACAUUGUUUGAUCUUCCACAUCAGAAAAGAAAUUUCUUGUCGCUAGAAAUAAAGUGAGGUAGUGAUAUAUUGCAUGUCUAGGAGUUCUGGCAAGGAAAGACUUGGUAUUUAAGCGUGUCUAUUGACCCACCUUUCUUACCUGGGAACUUUCAUGGUGCACUAUUCACGAACUCAGAUUUAUUCUAGUAUACGAUACUAGUCACACUUGUUAAAGAAAUUAUUUCCUGUGUAACUCAAGAUGGAGGGUGCAAUCAGCCAUGAUGGUGAUAUGUUCAAGCUAACUGCUGACAAUUACGCAUAUUGGAAGCCAAUGAUGGAAGACCACUUGUAUUGCAAAGACUUUCAUGAGCCAAUCACCCAAAAAGAUAAACCCUACAAGAAGACCGCUACGGAAUGGGAGACGGAGAAUCGAAAAACAGUGGCUAUGAUCCGAAAAUACAUUGAUCGAAGCUUGUUCGAGCAUGUAUCAACUGAUACCAAUGCGUAUGAGUUAUGGACGAAGCUUGAAUCAUUGAUUCAAAAGAACACGCCGAGAAAUAAAGCACACCUUGUUAGAAGACUGGUGAAGUUAGAGUACUCAGACGGUCAAAAGAUGAUCGAAGCUUUAAACACCUUCAAAGGUUUUGUAAUCAGUUGACAAGAAACGAAAUGAAGAUAGAUGACGAGUUGGACACACUUCUUACUCUUAUUUCCUUACCUGACAGUGGGGAAACUUUAGUUGGCACUCCUCGCUAUUCUGGCUCAAAAGGAAAACUUAAAUGGAAUUCAGUCCCUGUCUGUCUGGUAUAUGCAAAAACAAAACGAAAGGAAAAAGCUUGAAACAAUAUGUUCAAACCCACUUAUUUAACAACAAAGAAGGAACAAAAACCUGAAAAAAGGGGGUGGGAAAAUAUAAGGAGGCAAAAAAAGAAUUACCUAAACUAAAUUUGUUUUUACGGGGGAAAAACAGGCCAAUAAAAGGCUUGGGGUGAUUAUUUCUUUAAAAAAAGUUCUGCAGGGGGGUGCAAGAAACCCCUUCCCUUAAAAAAAAUUAGAAUAAAAAAAAAAAAAAAAAGAAAAGAGCGGGGAACCCCACCGCAAACAGCCCUUCUUUCUCCANNNNNNNNNNNNNNNNNNNNNNNNNNNNNNNNNNNNNNNNNNNNNNNNNNCACAAACAUACACAAAGAAAAGAAAGAAAGGGACGACAGGGAGCUGCAUUAUUUUAUUGGAUUUUUUUUGUUUUUGUGGUGUGGAGGGGAGAAAACAAAAACACAACCCCCCUUAUUUUGAGAGAAGAAUACCAAGGAAGAUUUUUUUACCCCCCCCCCCCCCAAAAAAAGAAUUUUUUUUCUUAGGGGGGAAUUAUUAUAAAUUUUUUCUUGAGGGGAAGGGGGGAACCUUCCAAAAACCUUCUGUGGAAAGGUUUAAGGAGCCCCCCAAAAAGGGAAAAAAAGGGUUUUCAAUCCCUUGGAAGAAAGGAAAGAAAAUUCCCCAAAAGGGGAAUGAGAGGUUUGGCCUGGUAAAAUUUUCCCAGAUGGAAAGGAGGGCUUUUAAAAAAUAAAUGGGUUUUCAAACUUCAAUUUUAAAGGGACAACCCAACCCCCAAGUACAAAGCAUGAAUUGGUGUGAAGGGGUGCCCUUCAAAAGAAAGGCAUUGAUUUUGAAAAAAUGUUUUCCCCGGUGGUGAAGAUGACAUCCAUUAGAGCAAUCCUUGGUCUAGCUGCAAAACUAGACUUAGAGAUAGAACAACUUGAUGUUAAAACAGCAUUCUUGCAUGGAGACCUAGAGGAAGAAAUCUAUAUGGAGCAACCUAAAGGUUUCGUUGAACCAGGCAAAGAACACCUUGUGUGUCGCUUGAAGAAAAGUUUAUAUGGCUUAAAGCAGGCUCCAAGACAAUGGUACAAGAAGUUUGAUCUCUUCAUGACCCAACACAACUUCACAAAGACGUCAACAGACCAUUGUGUGUUUGUGAAGAACUAUGAAAAUGGAGAGUCCAUCAUACUUUUAUUGUAUGUUGAUGAUAUGCUUAUUGUUGGAAAAGAUAAGACAAAGAUAUCUGCUCUCAAGAAAGCAUUGAGCAAAUCUUUUGCUAUGAAGGAUUUGGGUGCAGUGAAGAAGAUUCUUGGAAUGAAGAUCAUUAGAGAUCGAUCAAAAAGAAUGUUGUGGAUGUCACAAGAAGAAUAUCUCAAGAAAGUUCUUGAAAGGUUCAACAUGCAUAAUGCAAAACCUGUGCAUGUUCCAUUACCUGGUCAUUUGAAACUCAGUAAGACACAAUGUCCUGAGAAUGAUCAAGAGAAAGAAGAAAUGAGCAAGGUGCCCUAUUCUUCAGCCGUGGGUAGCCUUAUGUACGCCAUGGUCUGCACGAGGCCAGACAUCGGUUAUGCUGUAGGAGUCGUGAGUAGAUUCCUAUCAAAUCCAGGAAAAGAACACUGGAGUGCUGUGAAAUGGAUACUGAGGUAUCUAAAAGGAACUGCCAAAAAGUGCUUAUGUUUUGGCAAUGGAAAUCAAAUGCUCGUUGGAUAUGUAGAUGCUGAUAUGGCCGGAGAUAUAGAUUCAAGAAAAUCUACAUCUGGAUAUUUGAUUACUUUUGCAGGGGGAGCUGUCUCAUGGCAAUCUCGACUACAAAAGUGCGUUGCUUUAAGUACCACAGAAGCAGAGUACAUCGCAAUCACUGAAGGCUGUAAGGAGAUGAUGUGGAUGAAGAAGUUCCUGCAAGAGUUAGGCCAGAAUCAAGAAAUUUAUGUUCUCUAUUGUGAUAGUCAAAGUGCAAUUCACCUCAGCAAGAAUUCGACAUACCAUUCAAGGUCAAAACACAUCGAUGUGAGGUAUCAUUGGAUUCGUGAUGUGUUGGAGAAUAAACUGCUGCAAAUAGAGAAAAUUCACACCAAUGACAACGGAGCAGAUAUGAUGACAAAAGCUCUACCAAAAGAGAAGAUAGAGUUUUGUAAACAAGCUGCAGGCUUGGCAGCAACCCCAAACUAAUCUAAGGAUAGUUUCCCUUUGGCUGGAGGGGGAGAAUUGUUGGUUUCCAGCCACAAUAGUAACAAUAAUGCAUCAAUGGGAAAUGUUGAAUUUUUCUCCACUAGCAUGCCUAUGAAUAAUAGCUUGCGGUGGUAAAAAUUCUACCAUGUCAGUAACAAAUUGACAAACUUGGCAAUUGGUAACUAUUGUCAAAGAUGGUGCAGCAAGGAUUGGAAAAUAAGAACCAAGCAUUUAAUGCACACGGUUCAAAACCCUCUAUAAAUAGAGAAGAGUUUCAGCAAUGAAACACACCACAACACAAUCCUCACUCACAUAGAGUUGAGAGAAAAAUAGAGAGUUCCUCAUAAGAGUGUGAGAGAAAAAUAUAGUGAGCCAAUUUGUGAGAGUUGUAUCUACAAAUUGAGAUACAUAGUUAGGUCCACCUGAGGGUGAAGAUUUGUAUUCCCAUUAUUAUUAUAGUGGAGAUUUAAGAGGCCUACGGGUCCCGUGGUUUUUCCUUACUCACAUUGAGAAGGUUUUCCACGCUAAAAU
This 3898-nucleotide long non-coding RNA is filed under the name Medicago truncatula (barrel medic). Its description in RNAcentral is "long non-coding RNA (MTRU_LNC003524)". The record is from RNAcentral. Lineage: Eukaryota; Viridiplantae; Streptophyta; Magnoliopsida; Fabales; Fabaceae.